GUAGAGGAACGAUGUUUAUUAAUUCAACAGUAUGGAGAAUACAAAACAGUCUAGGAAUACAACUUCUAUGUUACUCUGUACAAAUUAACCAGAGGAGCCUCAUAUUUAUAGGCUAACCCUAGAGAAGUCCUAAAAGGCAAGAAAAUAUAUUACACUUAGGAGACCUAAUUUCAACAGGAUUUUGUUUCUUUAUUCAACUUAGUUUCCUUAAACACUAAGUGAAUAUUCUCAUAGUCCAAGUCGAAUAUGCUUCUUCAAAAGACUCAUAUUUGAGUCAUACUCCUAACACUUCGUCCUUCAUUUUAAAGUAGGCAACAAUUUUUUUUUCCCCUGAUGAAAACAGCCAUUAGGGACAUAAAUAGAAUAUUGAAUAAAGGUUAGAUAGGUUAAGUACAAUUAAAAUUUGGUGCAUUUAUUUAAAAAUUUGGUGUUAACAUAACACCCAAGAUUUAAAGUUCUAAACAAAAAAUCUUUUAAAGGAAUUAUGUUCUGGUCUCUCUGUAAAACUCUUGUGGCAUGCCAUCGGAUCAUUAAACUUUAUGCUCAUAUUGCAAAAAAAUACUCUAAUUUCUAAAUAUAGCUCAAUAUAUG
This 591-nucleotide long non-coding RNA is filed under the name Olea europaea subsp. europaea. Lineage: Eukaryota; Viridiplantae; Streptophyta; Magnoliopsida; Lamiales; Oleaceae. The record is from RNAcentral.